CACGUAGGGCGCGAGCGUUGUCCGGAAUUAUUGGGCGUAAAGAGCUCGUAGGCGGCCUGUUGCGUCCGCUGUGAAAAGCCCGGGGCUUAACCCCGGUCGGCAGUGGAUACGGCAGGCUAGAGGUAGAUAGGGGAGAAUGGAAUUCCCGGUGUAGCGGUGAAAUGCGCAGAUAUCGGGAGGAACACCGGUGGCGAAGGCGGUUCUCUGGGCCUUACCUGACGCUGAGGAGCGAAAGCGUGGGGAGCGAACAGG
This 252-nucleotide ribosomal RNA is filed under the name uncultured bacterium. RNAcentral describes it as "partial 16S ribosomal RNA". It matches the Rfam family "Bacterial small subunit ribosomal RNA", at positions 524 to 776 of the family's 1533-position model. The record is from RNAcentral.